This 492-nucleotide ribosomal RNA is filed under the name uncultured bacterium. RNAcentral's name for it is "partial 16S ribosomal RNA". It matches the Rfam family "Bacterial small subunit ribosomal RNA", at positions 30 to 507 of the family's 1533-position model. The record is from RNAcentral.
AUUGAACGCUGGCGGCAUGCUUUACACAUGCAAGUCGAACGGUAACAGGCCUUCGGGUGCUGACGAGUGGCGAACGGGUGAGUAAUGCAUCGGAACGUGCCCAGAGGUGGGGGAUAACGCAGCGAAAGCUGUGCUAAUACCGCAUGUGAUCUGAGGAUGAAAGCGGGGGACCAGGCAGCAAUGUUUGGCCUCGCGCCUUUGGAGCGGCCGAUGUCAGAUUAGGUAGUUGGUGGGGUAAAGGCCUACCAAGCCGACGAUCUGUAGCUGGUCUGAGAGGACGACCAGCCACACUGCGACUGAGACACGGCCCAGACUCCUACGGGAGGCAGCAGUGGGGAAUUUUGGACAAUGGGCGCAAGCCUGAUCCAGCAAUGCCGCGUGCGGGAAGAAGGCCUUCGGGUUGUAAACCGCUUUUGUACGGAACGAAAAGGCUCUGGCUAAUACCUGGGGCUGAUGACGGUACCGUAAGAAUAAGCACCGGCUAACUACGUG